AAGCUAAUGCUUGAUAAGUCAUUUAUAACUUAUCGGUGGGCUUUGCAUGGCCAAACCCAGAAGAAAGGAAGUGAGAGUAAAAUAGGGUCUGGAGUUUGCUAGGAAAAAUGCAGCAUAUCUUCAGGUCCUAGAUGGUACCAAGCCCUUGUGGGAAAUGUUCAAUCCGUCAGGCGUAAGAGUAAGGAACAACCAGUCUGUCCCAAUUUUGUGAAAAUUCCAGGGCUGUCAUUCUCGCUGUUUUUCAUUCCCACCACUUUCUCCUUUGGCUGGUUCAUGUAUCUUUGGAUAUCACUGGAAGCUUCCACUCUAAGGCCAAUUCUACAAAGUUCUGUAAAGAAUGCCGGGGCUGUUGCAUUUGGAGGGUGCACAGAGGCAAAAUGAAAGAAAGGACUGGAAAGAAAGAAACGACAGAAAACAGAUUUCCUGCUGUUGCAAAAGUAGGUGCCACAUGCUCCAAACUUCAAGAGAUGUUAAAAUGAAAGUUAAAGCUGGUGUAUGUAGUAGUCCCGGGGAGGGAAUGUUGUUGCCUUCAUACAAGAAGAGAGAAAACCCUCCCAAGGGAGGGUAGGAGAAGGAGUGGUGAGGAAGAAAGCAAGACAGGACCCCACAGACUACAAAACAAAACAAAAGUCCGUAACAUAUGAGUAUUUAAUAUGUGUUAAGGAGACUUUUAAAAAGAUUUCAGCCAUAAAAAAGCAAUGAAGCGCUGAUGUGUGCUAGAACAUGAAUCUUGAAAACAUUAUGCGGAGUGCCAUUUACAAAACAUCACAUAUUAUAUGAUUCCACUUAUAUAAAAUGCUCAGAAUAGGAAAAUCUUUAGAGACAGGCAGUCAAUUAGUGGUAGCCUUGAAAGGGGCAGGGAGUGGAGAGAGGGAGAUGUAACUGCCAAAGGGUUUUGCCAACAGGUUUCUCUCUGUGGCACUGAAAAUGUUCUAGAAUUGAUUGUGGUGGUGGCUGUACAACUCUGCAUAUACUAAAAACCAUUGAAUUAUACAUGUUAAAUGGGUGAAUGCUAUAGUUCUAUUGUUUGAAGAUCUGUG
Leopardus geoffroyi (Geoffroy's cat) is the source of this 1040-nucleotide long non-coding RNA. RefSeq lists it as uncharacterized. The record is from RefSeq and is a predicted model, not a curated record. The transcript is spliced from 3 exons. Lineage: Eukaryota; Metazoa; Chordata; Mammalia; Carnivora; Felidae.